UUUUGUUAUCAAAGCGCAUGCUCCAGUUUGACAGGUAAAACAGUCGCGGAAAUUUCACAGUACCACCAAGUGGCUUGUUCUUUAGAAAUUCUGAAAUAUCAAACCCCCGGUGGAGUCACGUUACAGCUUUGGUACACACACACAGCAGAAUCGAGAAAAGCAUGGCUGCAAUAGGCCAAGGAACAGCAGACAUGACCGAGGUGGUGUCAUCCAUGCAACUGAUGUUCGCCAAUCCAUCUUAGGAACUACUUUGGAGAGAUACUGCAUUAUACUCUUCCCCACAAGAAUUAAAGAGCAGAAAAGCAAGCCGUCCAUGUAGAGAGCCAAAUUACUGGAUGCCCAACUCCAUCCCCACAGCACUCUCCGGACACAGGACGGAUACUAUCUGAGCGAUCCAAAGUCAUAUCCAGUAGUAAGACAUUCAAGAUCCAGCAGAAUCCAGUGUAGGAUUUGGAUAUUUCAUCCCAGAACAAAUUCGGAUUCAGAAAAGGCAGUAUCUAUCGUGAGAGUUCAUAAAGUUGACCCUCUAUUGAACGGUCAGCCAAAAAUGACCAGUCUAAAACUUUAACGAAAUCCAACCCUUUUGCUCAGCGUCAGCCAUCAGGGAACCAGGAGAGGGAGGAACCAGAUCUCACCUUUGAAGAUGAGGCUGGACACGAGACCUGAGGGGGGAGCUCCAAGUCGCGCGCUUGGGGGACGCGAGAAAGAGGAGAUCCCGCUAGCACCGGCGGCGCGAGGUACAGAUCCAGUCGCCGGCAACCUGGGGAGAGAGCCGGCGGUGCGGGGUUAGAGCCGGCAGCGUGAGGAGAUCCCGCUAGCACGCCGAGGUACAGAUCCAGUCGCCGAGGUACAGAUCCAGUCGCCGGCAACCUGGGGAGAGAGCCGGCGGUGCGGGGUUAGAGCCGGCAGCGUGAGGAGAUCCCGCUAGCACCAGCGGCGUGAGGUACAGAUCUAU
This 955-nucleotide long non-coding RNA is filed under the name Triticum aestivum (bread wheat). RNAcentral's name for it is "long non-coding RNA (TAES_LNC011707)". The record is from RNAcentral. Lineage: Eukaryota; Viridiplantae; Streptophyta; Magnoliopsida; Poales; Poaceae.